AUGUAUUACCCAGCCCUCGUGGUACACUCUGUUCCAGGAAAGCAUGGUAGCAAUGCUCAUCAUCCCAUCCUUGAUGGAAGCACCGAGGGAAAUAUCUCCCAGCAUGAGACCUGCACUGGAAAUACUCACAUAAAGCCAGGAGGUUCCUCACAACUCACCAGCCCCUCAGCUCUGCAGGAGGGAAGCUCAGAAAUUGCUGGAGCUGUUGCUGUGGCUGGAAAUCACCAGGAGAGGAUGAGGUCUCAUGGGCAAGACCAGUGGCAGAACAAAAAACCCAAAGGGCAGAAAUGCCCUGCAAAAUCUUUUUGCUGGUAUUUUGUCUUUGAAGCUCAUCCCUGCAGGUAUUUUGCUAAAGCCAAAUUCACUGGUGUUGUCAUGAGGGUUUUUUCAGCCAUUCCUGCAGCAAACAUUGCUUACCUGGCAUCUGACCUCCUUUCGUACUGGUGAUUCUUAUCUCUGAGUUGAGCAAAGCUCAUGAAAUAUGAUUUCAUCUGCUAGGGAAGCAGGUAAGAAGGAUAAGAAGAGAUAAGAAGGAACUGGUUGGCCAGUGUGAGAUGCAAAGGAGAUUAGAGGACCUUUGCAUCACUCCUGUACAAACAAGGUGGCUGAUGAAGCCUGUGAGAAGCGAUGAUCAAGGCUCACCCCACAAUAUCUGGUGCAUCUGCAUUUUGAUGGGACUGAGUCUCUGGCUUUUUUUUCUUUCGUGUCUGUGUAUGUUUUGAUUAUACACAAAACACCAAAAUAAAAUCAACAAUUUAUACCCCGUUAUCUGCCCU
RNAcentral lists this long non-coding RNA (776 nucleotides) under Cyanistes caeruleus (blue tit). Its description in RNAcentral is "lncRNA (ENSCCEG00000002827.1)". Lineage: Eukaryota; Metazoa; Chordata; Aves; Passeriformes; Paridae. The record is from RNAcentral.